AGAGAGAGUUCAAGAGUACGUGAAACCGUUAAGAGCCAAACGGGUGGGACCUCGAAGGUCGAACCGAGGGGAUUCAGCUCGUCGGCUCAGGUCGGCCGGGCGCGGGUUUCGCUGAGGCGACCCAAGCACCUGUUGGGCGUGCCCGCGCUUCCGAGCCGGCGCCGGCGGGCGUAUUUCCCCUCGUGAUGUAGGACGCCGCGACCCGUUGCUGGGGACGUCUAAGGCCCGGUUGGAUUGGUACCCCGACGCCGCUCUAUAAGUGGCGGCGAAGGGGGAAACCUCCGGUGUCCUGGCUGCCCUGCGACGGUCGUGUAGCGGAGGGGCUCCCAGAGCCUUGCCUCUCGCGGCGUGCAAAAGGUCGGUGACCCACCCGACCCGUCUUGAAACACGGACCAAGGAGUCUAACAUGUGUGCGAGUCAAUGGGCGCACUAAACCCAAAGGCGCAAUGAAAGUGAAAGGAGGGUACCCGCCAGGGUGCCCUCUGGGGCCGAUCCCUGGCCGAGAGUGAGAGACGCCGUGCUGACCUAUACCAAAGCGGGGCCACUAUGGCGGCGCGCGUAGGUGAGACCCUUUCCCACGUUACCGCCGCCGGCCUCGUGGGCACACGGUGCGCUCUCCGGCCUGGAGGAGUAACAUCCUCUACCUGUACGCAGGGGGGCGCAGGCCCGGGACUUGUCAACCGACGCCGCGCGUGAAGCUGUUGUUGGUUCCGCCGAGCUUUGCUUGGGCUCUCGGAGGGAGCGCCGCGUUAGUCUUUUUAAGGGCGCGGUUGCGACCUCCGAUCCUGCUCUGUUCGGCGAGCCUUAGCGCGCGUGCUGUCGGCAAGUACCAUGAGCAGACAUGUUGGGACCCGAAAGAUGGUGAACUAUGCCUGGCCAGGAUGAAGCCAGA
RNAcentral lists this ribosomal RNA (892 nucleotides) under Caphyra rotundifrons. RNAcentral's name for it is "partial 28S ribosomal RNA". It matches the Rfam family "Eukaryotic large subunit ribosomal RNA", at positions 380 to 856 of the family's 3401-position model. The record is from RNAcentral. Lineage: Eukaryota; Metazoa; Arthropoda; Malacostraca; Decapoda; Portunidae.